RNAcentral lists this unclassified non-coding RNA (304 nucleotides) under uncultured Sordariomycetes. Its description in RNAcentral is "sequence contains ITS1". The stretch from base 1 to 105 matches the Rfam family "5.8S ribosomal RNA", at positions 50 to 154 of the family's 154-position model. Lineage: Eukaryota; Fungi; Ascomycota; Sordariomycetes. The record is from RNAcentral.
GAAACGCGAUAAGUAAUGUGAAUUGCAGAAUUCAGUGAAUCAUCGAAUCUUUGAACGCACAUGGCGCCUUCCAGUAUCCUGGGAGGCAUGCCUGUCCGAGCGUCGUUUCAACCCUCGAGCCCCCGUGGCCCGGCGUUGGGGAUCUGCCCAGGCAGGCCCCGAAAACCAGUGGCGGGCUCGCUGUCACACCGGGCGUAGUAGAUUUUAUCUCGCUCAGGGAGUGCUGCGUGUCCCUGCCGUAAAAAGCGUCUUACGACACCCAAUGGUUGACCUCGGAUCAGGUAGGACUACCCGCUGAACUUAA